CGGAUGUUACAAUGCCUUCUCAUUAGGUAGAGAAGGGGCCUGGCCUGGGUCCCAACUCUGCCAGGUCAGCUUAUCCCAUGAGAGCACCAGGCCUCGGUGUUGACUAGCUGUCUGUAGACAAUAAGGUGCGAUGCCCCCCUACCAGACCUGGUCUGACGAGCCCUCCUGGUAGUGGGUAGGAAGCACGUUCCAAACCUGAGGCCUCUGUGAGCGCACACAGGGAGUAAGCUUCGGUGGAGGGUGACUUGCGAGAUUCGGAGAUAAGAGGAGACUCUGAGCAGUACUCAGGCCCCGAAGGAGGACAGAGGCCAGGGCAGCCACAGCGGACGGGCAGAGGAAGCGCCGCUCUUGCCCAAGGGAAGCCCCUCCACCUCGAAGUCCCUCAACCAACGGAAGUGGAGCCGAAACCACCAAGUGCCUUGGAUCAACGGGGAAGAAUUCCAAACCCCAACAAAGGUCACCACUGAAUGGAGGUGUAAACAUCCACUGAUAUAAACAUUCUCCAAGCCACUCUGAAGUCAUGGCCUCUGGAAGGAAACAGCCUCAGCUUGGAAGUGGUGGGGAUGGAUUUCCCUUACCAUCAGCGCUAUUCAGGGACUCAGGGCAGGCGCUGUGCUGCUGAGCUAUAUCCCUGGCCCCUGCUGGCUACAUUAACUGACUGUAGAAUCAGAGAAGUCCGGGAUCAGCUGGCUCCAACACAGAGACACCAUGGCAGAGCAAAACUGUUUAGUUCACAGUGGCCAGGAAGAGCAAGGAAAGUACGCCAGAGUAGAAGUGAUGAGGAACAAGAUACGCACCCCAAGGCCAUGCCUGCAAGAUUCACCCAGCCACACCUGGAAAUGUGCCCCACCAAGCCCUGGGGCAGAUCUCAAAGCCAAGCCAGUUGAAACUCCAACUUAACCACUGCAAUGCUCUUAGAGAAUCCCCUUCCGCAUUGAAUAAGGCAACCAGGUAAUAAGGUACAUGGGUUCCCAGUAGAAAAUUUUGGAAAAAGUCGAGUGUGACUUCUGAACCUGGGUCAUAAAAGACAGCAUGUGUUUCCCCUUAAUCUCUCUAGGACCAUGUGCUCUGGAGGGAACUAGCUGCCAUAUCAAGGUGUCCUGUGGGCUGUCCACAUAGCAAGGAGCUGAGGCUUCCCACCAACAGCCAACAUUAAGUUCUUUUUUCUUUUUUUUUUCCGGUACCAGGAAUCAAACUCAUGACCUUGCGCUUGCCAGGCAGGCACUGUGCUGCUGAGCUAAAUCCCUAGCCCCUGUAUAUUAUUUGUUUGUUUGUUUUUUGUUUGUUUUCAGUACCAGGAAUCGAAUUCUCGACCUUGCGCUUGCCAGGCAGGCGCUGUGCCGCUGAGCUAAAUCCCCAGCCCAACAUUAUAAUCCCUUGCCUGUAGGUGGACAACUGAGACCCGCAUGCUCUCUGCUGGCUUUCAGGGCUCCCCAGGAGGGCUGAGUCCCUGUUGCCAGCACAGAAACUUGCUGGAUAGCACUUGCUUCCCCUCCGUGUGUCCCUAGCCCACUCCUUUACCUAAGCUGCCUGGGAUUGCAAUCCAAAUAAACCCCGCUCCAGGUCUGCUGCACUUCAAACCAAGUGAGAAGCCCCAGAUGCAAAACAAAUACCAGCUGCGGCCCCAGGGGCAAGAGGCAGGUGCGGCCGUGCUAUGCCAGGGCCUCCGCAUCAGGAGCGAGCUGCACCAGAGCAAAGCAUACCUAGACAGGGAGCCUCACAAACCCAGGCGCCCAGUGGUGGGAACCCCUAUCCCUUGGUCUCUAUGGAGACCAAGUCCCACAGUGGCGCUCUCUCUGUAUCUCCCCCAUUCAACCAAGACCACAUUCCUUUUUUAACUAAGAAAGUGGCCCAAAAAAGGAUUGUGGUCACUUUUUUAUCGGGCCUGUGGUAGAAGCAGUGGACACAGUUCAGACACCUCCAGCUCCCAGGGCCCCAAGUGACAAUGACAAGGACAGUGCAGUGGCACUGGGGCCGGUGCAGGAGCUCCUGAACUUGGAGCCAGAUGAGAAAAGGAGCCCUAUGCGGCGUCCUGAGGCCAGUGCCCAGUGUAUGCUGGGCAGUGUGCUCCUCGGGAAGCAACACUGCGAGGGAGUCCAGCUGCUGACACCCAUGGGCCUCACCCAAGGGCCUUCACCGUCCCAGACAUCUUCAGAGGCUGCUUCUGAGUCUCAGCAACGUUCCACACCAGGAUCACGGGACAGGAUAUGGAAAAGGGCCUCACAGACCACAAACCAUAAGCAAUGGUGCGGCUCAGCUGCAAGCUAUUGUUCCAGGGAUUUUUGAAGGCAAAAUCCUGUCCUUGCAUCCAGAGCCUGGCAUGGGACCUGCCGAAGGGAAAAAGCUUGUUGAAUUGCUUGUUGAAUUAAUAAACUGGUAAAUGAAUGAAUGAGCUUGGAUAGAUCAUCUUGUAUAACCAUUCAAUCCACUGAAGUAUUGCUAAGGGCCUAGUACAUGUCAGGGACAAGGGUGGCUUGAGGAAAAUCACCAACAAGAAGACAGGAUUUUUACCCUCAAGAGCUAAUGGCAGGGGCUGGGGAUUUAGCUCAGCGGCAAAGCACCUGCCUGGCAAGCGC
Long non-coding RNA from Chinchilla lanigera (long-tailed chinchilla), 2576 nucleotides. The record is from Ensembl. NCBI's taxonomy places the organism in Eukaryota, Metazoa, Chordata, Mammalia, Rodentia, Chinchillidae.